UAUAACUUCCACAACAGAAAAUUUUAUGUUAUUUGCCUACUACCAAUGCAGUUUAACUGAUUUAUAGCAUAAAUUAUAGAAAAUUGGUAAACUGGCUGGACCUGCACUUUAAGGAAGACAAGGUACUUAUAAUGUCAUAAAUUAUAGAUUCUGCUUUCUUAAAUUCAUGCGUAUUAAUAUUGUACACUGCUUCUUACAUUCUUCCUAAACUUAGUUUCUACAUUCUAGUAUCAUUUGUAGUCUUGCCAAGUAAACCUUAUAUGAAGAACAUAAUAUUGAAGUUGGCAUAAAUAUGUUUGGAAAAGAGUAGUAGAAUUUGGCCUUGAGCAAACAUAUAAUAAAUGGAAUGAUACUGCAUUCUAAUUCUGUUAUAUCUUGCAAAUUUAAGUGUGUCGCCCUCCACCUAUAGGCUUUUACAUACUUGCUCUUUCUUGUUUGCAUUGUUCAUCUCGCCAAUAGUUCUCUUAGAACAUCAAGAACUAUUUGGCUUUUUGAUUUGCAGCUUAAGCCAGAUCUUGGCCAAGAGAAAGAUCCGAUGGCAGGAAUUAUGGAUUUGAUGAAGAACAUGUAUGAAGAAGGCGAUGAUGAGAUGAAGCGGACGAUUGCCAAAGCCUGGUCUGAUGCAAGAUCUGGAAAAACGGCUGAUCCACUAAAAAAUUACCCAU
This is a long non-coding RNA of Zingiber officinale, 665 nucleotides long. RefSeq lists it as uncharacterized. The record is from RefSeq and is a predicted model, not a curated record. The transcript has 2 exons. Lineage: Eukaryota; Viridiplantae; Streptophyta; Magnoliopsida; Zingiberales; Zingiberaceae.